UCAUGACAUUGUUGAAAUUAAGAAGCAA
This 28-nucleotide non-coding RNA is filed under the name Mus musculus (house mouse). The record is from RNAcentral. Lineage: Eukaryota; Metazoa; Chordata; Mammalia; Rodentia; Muridae.